Hippopotamus amphibius kiboko is the source of this 1385-nucleotide RNA transcript. It is a transcript of the gene named aminolevulinate dehydratase, with no coding region annotated. The transcript has 13 exons. The record is from RefSeq and is a predicted model, not a curated record. Lineage: Eukaryota; Metazoa; Chordata; Mammalia; Artiodactyla; Hippopotamidae.
GAAAGAGGGAGCUGCUUCCGGGAGAGCCGCCCCGCCCCCACGUGGGCCCCGGGAGACCAGAGCGCGCGACAGCGGUGGCGGGAGCGGCGUCCCGAAUUCCUUAGGGAGGCAGAGCUGAGCACGCGGCAGACCCCCCAGGAGCCCUCCAUUCCAACCAGCCAGCUGCCCUGUGCCUUCCCUGCCCACCAUGCAGCCCCAGUCGGUCCUGCACAGCGGCUACUUCCACCCACUGCUUCGGACCUGGCAGACAGCUGCUGCCCGCCUCAGUGCCUCCAACCUCAUCUACCCCAUCUUUGUUACGGACGUACCUGAUGACAAACAGCCUAUCGCCAGCCUCCCAGGAGUGGCCAGGUACGGUGUGAACCGACUGGAAGAGAUGCUGAAGCCCCUGGUGGAGGAGGGCCUGCGCUGCGUCCUGAUCUUUGGGGUCCCCAGCAGAGUUCCCAAGGAUGAGCGGGGCUCUGCGGCCGACUCUGAGGACUCCCCGGCUAUCGAGGCUAUCCGUCUGUUGCGCAAGAACUUCCCUGGCCUCCUGGUGGCCUGCGACGUGUGUCUGUGCCCCUACACCUCCCACGGUCACUGCGGGCUUCUGAAUGAGAAUGGGUCAUUCCAAGCUGAGGAGAGCCGCCAGCGGCUGGCAGAGGUGGCACUGGCCUAUGCCAAGGCAGGAUGUCAGGUGGUGGCCCCUUCGGACAUGAUGGACGGACGCGUGGAAGCCAUCAAGGAGGCUCUGAUGGCUCAUGGAUUCGGCAACAGGGUAUCCGUGAUGAGCUAUAGUGCCAAGUUUGCUUCCUGUUUCUAUGGACCUUUCCGGGACGCGGCUCAGUCGAGCCCAGCUUUUGGAGAUCGCCGCUGCUACCAGCUGCCGCCCGGAGCACGAGGCCUGGCCCUGCGCGCGGUGGACCGGGAUGUACGGGAGGGAGCUGACGUGCUCAUGGUGAAGCCAGGAAUGCCCUACCUGGACAUUGUGCGGGAGGUAAAGAACAAGCACCCUGAGCUCCCUCUCGCUGUGUACCACGUUUCUGGAGAGUUUGCCAUGCUGUGGCACGGAGCCCAGGCCGGGGCAUUUGAUCUCAAGGCUGCCGUGCUGGAGGUCAUGACCGCCUUCCGCAGAGCAGGUGCCGACAUCAUCAUCACCUACUACACGCCUCAGCUACUGCAGUGGCUGAAGGAGUGAUGGAGAAAGUGUGCAAGACCCAAGAACCAGAACUUUUUCAUUCCUGAGCCUCGGAAAAGCAAAACCAAAGACCUUCUGCUGUGAAAACGUUACCCGAGUGUCAGCAGAUCUGACCCACUAAGCCCGGAGAGAGAAGACCACCAGGUUGUUGGGGGGCAGUCUUGUCCAGCUCAACCUCCCCUUGGCCCCUGGGACCUGAGGCAGAGGC